GACGAACGCUGGCGGCGCGCUUAACACAUGCAAGUCGAACGGAAAGGCCUGCUUUCCCUUGUGGAUUGCGGGUACUCGAGUGGCUAACGGGUGAGUAACACGUGAGUGAUCUGCCCCCAACUUGGGUAUAAGCCUGGGAAACUGGGUCUAAUUCCCGAUAGGACUGCAGGGUGGUGCCUGUGGUGGAAAACGAUCUUCUAGUGGUUGGGGAUGAGCUCGCGGCCUAUCAGCUUGUUGGUGGGGUAAUGGCCGACCAAGGCGGCGACGGGUAGCCGGCCUGGGAGGGUGGACGGCGACAUUGGGACUGGGAUACGGCCCAGACUCCUGCGGGAGGCAGCAGUGGGGAAUAUUGCGCAGUGGGCGGAAGCCUGAUGCAGCGACGCCGCGUGGGGGAUGACGGGCUUCGGGUUGUAAACUACUUUGGACCGAGAGGAAGCCACGUGGUUGGAAGGGUGGUGACGGUAGUGGUAGAAGAAGCACCGGCUAACUACGUG
Molecule: ribosomal RNA, 494 nt
Filed under: uncultured bacterium
Lineage: Bacteria
Description: partial 16S ribosomal RNA
Rfam family: Bacterial small subunit ribosomal RNA
Source: RNAcentral